GCAGCAAGCAAACUAAUCUCCACAAGGUUGCCGCGUAUUUAAAGACCGGCGGCCGAGGCAUAGCUAGCUACCCUCGGCUGCUUAAAAACUCUUUAUCCAUCAGUUGGGAGCAGGGGUAGGAAGCUUUCAAAACCGUUAACGAACGAGCAAACCAACAUAGUGGAUAUUCCGCCCAACUCGGCAAGUUGAUCAAGCCCAAAUGACACUUCUCAGUGCGGUGUAAACAGAAAUGGCCAAGGAAGCAGGCCCCACAGGUAUCUUUGCUAUGGCGAUUGUCAGACGGAUACGCAGCACAAAUCAUGCCCAAUCUUUAAAUAGUAACUAGCUCCAGAUAGGCGAUUCCACCUUAGUAGUUAAUGUAUCCUCUGAGUGCAGUUAAGUUAAUCGAUGACACCCGACAAAUCCAGUCCAUAUGGGCAGAGGGGUUGUCCGCUGGAAUGGAUCAUUUCUCGCACACUCUCUUCCCUGGGGAAUGGAUGGUUUUCGACAAAGGCUUCAAAAUCCAAUUCCUGCAAGGGAGCAGUAGAGAUUGGAUAAUCGUGGCCAGUUAU
RNAcentral lists this small RNA (551 nucleotides) under Histoplasma capsulatum. RNAcentral describes it as "hypothetical RNA". The record is from RNAcentral. Lineage: Eukaryota; Fungi; Ascomycota; Eurotiomycetes; Onygenales; Ajellomycetaceae. RNAcentral also lists the same sequence under 1 other name.